UAAAACCAGCACCUCAAGUGGUCAGGAUGAUUAUUGGGCCUAAAGCAUCCGUAGCCGGCUCUGUGAGUUUUCGGUUAAAUCUGUACGCUCAACGUACAGGCUGCCGGGAAUACUGCAGAGCUAGGGAGUGGGAGAGGUAGACGGUACUCGGGAGGAAGUGGUAAAAUGCUUUGAUCUCUCGAUGACCACCUGUGGCGAAGGCGGUCUACCAGAACACGUCCGACGGUGAGGGAUGAAAGCUGGGGGAGCAAACCGGAUUAGAUACCCGGGUAGUCCCAGCUGUAAACUAUGCAAACUAAGUGAUGCAUUGGCUUGUGGCCAAUGCAGUAUUUCAGGGAAGCCGUUAAGUUUGCCGCCUGGGAAGUACGUACGCAAGUAUG
RNAcentral lists this ribosomal RNA (380 nucleotides) under uncultured Nitrososphaerota archaeon. RNAcentral describes it as "bacterial SSU rRNA". It matches the Rfam family "Archaeal small subunit ribosomal RNA", at positions 471 to 851 of the family's 1478-position model. Lineage: Archaea; Thermoproteati; Nitrososphaerota. The record is from RNAcentral.